AGUGAACGCUGGCGGUAGGCCUAACACAUGCAAGUCGAACGGCAGCACAGUAAGAGCUUGCUCUUACGGGUGGCGAGUGGCGGACGGGUGAGGAAUACAUCGGAAUCUACUUUUUCGUGGGGGAUAACGUAGGGAAACUUACGCUAAUACCGCAUACGACCUACGGGUGAAAGCAGGGGAUCUUCGGACCUUGCGCGAUUGAAUGAGCCGAUGUCGGAUUAGCUAGUUGGCGGGGUAAAGGCCCACCAAGGCGACGAUCCGUAGCUGGUCUGAGAGGAUGAUAAGCCACACUGGAAAUGAGACACGGUCCAGACUACUACGGGAGGCAGCAGUGGGGAAUAUUGGACAAUGGGCGCAAGCCUGAUCCAGACAUACCGCGUGGGUGAAGAAGGCCUUCGGGUUGGAAAGACCUUUUGUUGGGAAAGAAAAGCAGCAGGUUAAUACCCCGCUGUUCUGACGGUACACAAAGAAUAAGCACCGGCUAACUUCGUG
Molecule: ribosomal RNA, 492 nt
Filed under: uncultured bacterium
Lineage: Bacteria
Description: partial 16S ribosomal RNA
Rfam family: Bacterial small subunit ribosomal RNA
Source: RNAcentral